This 490-nucleotide ribosomal RNA is filed under the name uncultured bacterium. RNAcentral's name for it is "partial 16S ribosomal RNA". It matches the Rfam family "Bacterial small subunit ribosomal RNA", at positions 30 to 507 of the family's 1533-position model. The record is from RNAcentral.
AUUGAACGCUGGCGGCAGGCCUAACACAUGCAAGUCGAACGGUAACAGGAAGAAGCUUGCUUCUUUGCUGACGAGUGGCGGACGGGUGAGUAAUGGCUGGGAAACUGCUUGAUGGAGGGGGUUAACUACUGGAAACGUUAGCUAAUACCGUAUAACUUCGACAGACCAAAGAGGGGGACCUUCGGGCCUCUUUCCAUCGGAUGUGCCCAGAUGGGAUUAGCUAGUAGGUGGGGUAACGGCUCACCUAGGCGACGAUCCCUAGCUGGUCUGAGAGGAUGACCAGCCACACUGGAACUGAGACACGGUCCAGACUCCUACGGGAGGCAGCAGUGGGGAAUAUUGCACAAUGGGCGCAAGCCUGAUGCAGCCAUGCCGCGUGUAUGAAGAAGGCCUUCGGGUUGUAAAGUACUUUCAGCGGGGAGGAAGGGAGUAAAGUUAAUACCUUUGCUCAUUGACGUUACCCGCAGAAGAAGCACCGGCUAACUCCGUG